Phasianus colchicus (ring-necked pheasant) is the source of this 1112-nucleotide RNA transcript. RefSeq lists it as uncharacterized. The record is from RefSeq and is a predicted model, not a curated record. Lineage: Eukaryota; Metazoa; Chordata; Aves; Galliformes; Phasianidae.
GGGAAAGCGGAGCAGAGGCAGCACGCAGGGGACUGGACGCCACUGGAAACUGUUAAGGCUGGGGGCAUUCUUUGGAAGGGUGUCGUGUGAGAUGCAAAGUGAUCCGUUUGAAUUAGGCACAAUUAUUUAACUUAUUAGUGAAUCCCACAGUGAGGUGAGGAGAAGCGCAUAGCAAACUUUAACUGAAAGUGCAGUUUAAGUCCCUAAUUCAGAUCUAGAGCCCACGUGUCUAACUGUCAGUGUCACCGGCCGGCCCUAACGAGCCCCACCGGCGCUAACGAGGCAACGACUCCCAGGUGCCGCGGGGCCGCGGCCGCUCGGGCACAGCUGCGCCUCGUCCGCAGCGCGGGGCGGGUCCGCCCCAAAGCCUCUUAAGCUCCGUCGGAGGCCGUCGGGAGCCACGAAGGAGCUUCCCGGGCUGCGGUGGGAUGUCUCUCGGUAAAGAUCAGCGCGAACCGGCUGAGCGAAAGCUGCGGCGGAGCCUGUCGUCAUCCCGAAGCGGUGAGAUGGUGGAAGCGAGACGUGGUGGGACAGCUUGCACGACUGGAAUGCUGUUGUGGAUGGCUGUGCUCCUUAUAAGUGAGACAGACGGGUGAAGCGGUGGAGUUGCUCUUCCAGCGAGGGAACUGGAUCGCAUUGAACCUCGCCUCCCUCCUCGGCAAGGGCGAAUGCCGCAACAGAGCAUUUAACAGUGAGGAUCUACUUGAGUAUGGGAGUGGUUUCAUCUUCAGUGGGAUGAAGGAGAAGCUGUUCGUGGAGCUCUGCCCGCAGGUUCAGGGCUGGAGGGGGGAUCCUGCUGUGAGAGUCUAUGGAGUGAGCUUUAAAGGUCUGUGGCAGGCCUGCUCCUGGAGGAGUGGAAUUGCCUGAGUGAGAGGUCCUGGUACAGCCAGUGUCUUGAGAGGAAAGUCCUUAUCCCUAGGCUGGGAGCUGUACUGCACAUGUGGAAGAAACAGAGAUCACCCAGGGAAGUUCCAAAUGUUAUCAGGAGAUACAGGAUACGUAAGCUCUCCACUUAAUAGUGGAGAGGUGAGAAAACAGUGUCUUGAGAGGAAGGUCCUCGGGCUGGGAGCUGUGCUGCGCAUGUGGAAGAAGCAGGGGAGAGUUCUUCCCCC